UACGGAGGAUGCGAGCGUUAUCCGGAUUUAUUGGGUUUAAAGGGUGCGUAGGCGGAGUGCCAAGUCAGCGGUGAAAAUUCGGGGCUCAACCCCGUCGUGCCGUUGAAACUGGCGCCCUUGAGUGGGCGAGAAGUAUGCGGAAUGCGUGGUGUAGCGGUGAAAUGCAUAGAUAUCGCGCAGAACCCCGAUUGCGAAGGCAGCAUACCGGCGCCCGACUGACGCUGAAGCACGAAAGCGUGGGUAUCGAACAGG
RNAcentral lists this ribosomal RNA (252 nucleotides) under uncultured bacterium. RNAcentral's name for it is "partial 16S ribosomal RNA". It matches the Rfam family "Bacterial small subunit ribosomal RNA", at positions 524 to 776 of the family's 1533-position model. The record is from RNAcentral.